ACCCCCAACUACCACCACCUGGGGCUGAGGAUCAGAUCUGUAGACUCUCCGUGCAGUAGCGAUCAGAGCUUGAUGAGCCCCCUCCUGGCUGCACUGGAGUGUCAGGAACCAGACCCUAGCAGAGCUCAGCACCCAGCUCCUUUGUCUCGCCCGCCCCCUCGUCCCCACUUCCUGCCCAGCUUCUAGCUAGCGAUCUGCGAUGCGGCACGGACUUUGUAAACACGCCGCGCCUGUGGGGUGGACGCCUGUUGUGUUUGGGUGCCGCGGAAGCGGGGUGCACGCCCCUGUCCUGUCCGUGCUGGCGGCUGUGAUCACGCCUACUGUCCAAAAACAGAUCUCCAGCAGCUGGAGAGAACGUGAGGCCGCCAUCCGAGCUUCGGGGGACUCAACUGCCAAGAGCCCUGAGCCCUGA
This 412-nucleotide long non-coding RNA is filed under the name Cricetulus griseus (Chinese hamster). RNAcentral's name for it is "lncRNA (ENSCGRG00000024869.1)". The record is from RNAcentral. Lineage: Eukaryota; Metazoa; Chordata; Mammalia; Rodentia; Cricetidae.